Cotesia glomerata is the source of this 674-nucleotide long non-coding RNA. RefSeq lists it as uncharacterized. The record is from RefSeq and is a predicted model, not a curated record. The transcript has 3 exons. NCBI's taxonomy places the organism in Eukaryota, Metazoa, Arthropoda, Insecta, Hymenoptera, Braconidae.
GAAAACGGAUUAAAACUUAUUUUGAUAAAAGUUUUAAUGAAAUUCGACAACACUUAGAAUCAGUAACAACAAACAAUGGUUUUGUCUGUACAAUAGCCGAUGUAUGGACAAGUGGACAAAUGGAAAAGUGGGAGUAGAAGAUUUUUGGGGGUCACAGUCAGUUGGAUUGAUCAAAAAAGCUUAGCAAGAAAAUCUGCUGCUGUUGAUUGCAAGCGUUUUCAUUCGGGCACUCAUUCAUUCGAUGCAAUUGUUAAAAAAUGAUUUGAUAUUCAUUCUUCAUUUGGUCUCACUUCAGAAAAUAUCAGAGCAACAGUUACUGACAACGGAUCAAACUUUAUAAAAGCAUUUAAGGAAUUUGGAGUUGACGUUUCAGAUAAAGAUCUUUUUGAUUCGUCUGAAGUGAGUUGCGAUGAUGAUGAUGAAGACAUUUUUGAUGCUUUGGAUGAUAUUUCUGUGAGAGCUGAGGAAGAAUUCGAUUUGACAUGUGAAAUAGCAUUACCUCAACAUUUGCGGUGUGCUAGUCAUACGCUCAACUUAAUAGCAACAACAGAUAUCAGUAAGGGUAUUGAAGCAUCUCAAGUUUUAAAAAAAAAGGCACACAAAUGUUGUUCAGAAGUGUUCAUCUUUGUGGAAGCAACUACGAUCUCCGAAGAAGAACGAAUAUUUUAAAUUAU